RNAcentral lists this long non-coding RNA (379 nucleotides) under Gossypium raimondii (Peruvian cotton). Its description in RNAcentral is "long non-coding RNA (GRAI_LNC006591)". Lineage: Eukaryota; Viridiplantae; Streptophyta; Magnoliopsida; Malvales; Malvaceae. The record is from RNAcentral.
AACAAUCCAUAUCUUUAACUAAUCAUCAAACAUAUCAUUUUAUAAGACAUAUAUACAUGCGCAUAACACUCUAAAACAAAGCCAUUUCUAAAUUCAAAUACCAAAUCAUGGCUAACCCAAUUCAUUAACUAAUUUAUAAAAAAAAAAGCAAUUUGUAUGUUAUGCAUAUGCUCACAUUUACUUAGGUUAAGCUUUUCACACACCUUAUUAGGCAUACAAAAAAAAAAAAACCAUAAGCAAGCUUCAUUAUACAACCAAAUACAUUUGUAAACAUUACCAACCUAUGUGCAUUAUACCAUAGUCACGUUAAACAAUUUUUGAACAUAAGCAACAAUUUUAAGUACACCAAUUCGCAUGCUAAUUAUCAUGCCCCAACACA